GGUGGACGCUAGCGGCAGGCCUAACACAUGCAAGUCGAGGGAGAAGCCCUUUCGGGGGCAGAAACCGGCGCACGGGUGCGUAACGCGUAUGCAACCUACCUUUCACAGGGGGAUAGCCCGAAGAAAUUUGGAUUAAUACCCCAUAAUAUUAUUGGAUGGCAUCAUUUGAUAAUUAAAACUGCGGUGGUGAAAGAUGGGCAUGCGUCCUAUUAGCUAGUUGGAGUGGUAACGGCACCCCAAGGCUACGAUAGGUAGGGGUCCUGAGAGGGAGAUCCCCCACACUGGUACUGAGACAGGGACCAGACUCCUACGGGAGGCAGCAGUGAGGAAUAUUGGUCAAUGGUCGGAAGACUGAACCAGCCAUGCCGCGUGCAGGAAGAAUGCCUUAUGGGUUGUAAACUGCUUUUAUAUGGGAAGAAUAAGGCGUACGUGUACGUUGAUGACGGUACCAUAUGAAUAAGCAUCGGCUAACUCCGUG
This 478-nucleotide ribosomal RNA is filed under the name uncultured bacterium. RNAcentral's name for it is "partial 16S ribosomal RNA". It matches the Rfam family "Bacterial small subunit ribosomal RNA", at positions 28 to 507 of the family's 1533-position model. The record is from RNAcentral.